UGUCUGGUGGGAAUGUUUGUUGGGAAUGUUUGGUGGGGCACUGGAUGGAGCUGCAGGAGCAGAGGAAGGAGCAGCGGUGGAGAAAGGAGAUGGAGGAGCUCCGGUGGGAAUCUGGGAAUGCUGGGAGUGCUGGAAAUGGCUAUUGGGAAUUCUGGGAAUGUCUGGUGGGAAUGUUUGGUGGUGGCACCGCAUGGAGCUGCAGGAGCAGUGGCGGGAGCAGCGCAAGGAGCUCCGCAGGAAAAAGGAGAUGGAGGAGCUCCGGAGCUACUCGUCGCUGAUGAAGGCCGAGAACAUGUCCUCCAACCAGGUGGGCGGGGAGACCCCGGAAUUCCGGGAAUUCCUCGGGAAAGGGGGGCGGGAGAGCUCUGGGAAUUCCUCGGGAAAGGGGUGGGGAAAAUGGGAAUGACGGGAGAUACGGGAAUAACGGGGUUAAUGGGAUGGAGGGGGAUGGGAAUGAUGGGAAAUUUGGGAAUCGUGGGAACGGGAAUCAUGGGAAUGUGAUCUGGAAUAACGGGAUUAAUGGGAAUAGUGGGGUUUGGAAUAAUGGCAGUGGGA
Molecule: long non-coding RNA, 555 nt
Filed under: Zonotrichia albicollis (white-throated sparrow)
Lineage: Eukaryota; Metazoa; Chordata; Aves; Passeriformes; Passerellidae
Description: lncRNA (ENSZALG00000001468.1)
Source: RNAcentral